RNAcentral lists this microRNA (24 nucleotides) under Ananas comosus (pineapple). Its description in RNAcentral is "microRNA s1424_c073b". The record is from RNAcentral. Lineage: Eukaryota; Viridiplantae; Streptophyta; Magnoliopsida; Poales; Bromeliaceae.
ACUAGGGAUGCAAUUGGUCCGAGU